UUGAACAAAAACACAUCGCAAGUCUUCCAAAUAUGCAAGUCCACCUGAUCUAGUGUGAUGACUACGGCGGUGGUUGAUUGUUAUGAAUUGUCAUGAAAGCCUGGCUGUGAUUUGUGGUAAACAGAGCAAUUUUCGUUUUUGUUGACAAGGGCAAAAGUGGAAAACCUCAUCUCUCUACCCCUUAGUUGUUAUAUACUUUUCACCCAUUCCCUUACCUUUUAUUCUCGCCAAAAAACUCAACAACUGAAAAAGAGAAGAAGAAACUCAGCCACCCAGACCAGCGGCACCGCCGCCGCGAACCUCCCACUCUCUCUCCUGUGGCGGCAAUACUUCAUCUCUGUGCGCAACUUCUCCCUGUGCCGGACCACGUCUCCGACGACGCAACCCUUUCUCCGGCGAGGUAACCCUAAAACAGUGCCAAUGUAUUCACGUGGUCGCGAUUUUUUGUUCUGUCACUUGUGUGGAACAAUGCUCACGGUUCCCUCAACUGAUUACAAAUGAAGACACUGUAUAUAUAUUAAAGGAAAGGAAAUAAGUUACACAAUUUCUGCUGAGGAUAUCAGAAGAGAACUUGGAAUCGAUCUAAUUGAGGAACAGAAGGUGCAAUUGUCUAAGGUCAACAAGACAUGUGAAAAAUGUGGUCAUGGUGAAGCUGCCUUUUAUACCAGACAGAUGAGAUCGGCGGAUGAAGGGCAGACUACUUUUUACACAUGCACUCGCUGUGGUCAUCAGUUUCAGGAGAAUUAAAUUUGAACCCUCUACGAACAGAUUACUUGGCUGAAAUCUGCUCCAAUUUUCUACCAAACAUUAAUUUGGAGAGUCUGUGCAAUUGGAAGUUUUGAUCCUAUGUAGCUUGUACAAUGCCUGAAAAUUGUAUACUGAAAUCGACAUAGAAAAGUUGUUUUGGUGUUAAAUAUGAAGUAACAUGUGGCUUCUGGCUAUUUGUUGCUAAAUUCACAGAAACCACCUUUUUACUAUUUUUUUCCCUAUCAAAUUUUGAUUUAUUUUCAUGCAUUACUCAGGUAUUGUGGCCUGGUGUUUCCUAGUGUGCUAAUUUAUCUAGAACUGUGUUUGUAGUACUUAGUUCCUUGCCUUUUUGGGCGAAUAGUAC
This 1111-nucleotide long non-coding RNA is filed under the name Medicago truncatula (barrel medic). RNAcentral's name for it is "lncRNA gene18786". The record is from RNAcentral. Lineage: Eukaryota; Viridiplantae; Streptophyta; Magnoliopsida; Fabales; Fabaceae.